Molecule: ribosomal RNA, 322 nt
Filed under: uncultured Planctomycetota bacterium
Lineage: Bacteria; Pseudomonadati; Planctomycetota
Description: bacterial SSU rRNA
Rfam family: Bacterial small subunit ribosomal RNA
Source: RNAcentral
AACGAACGUUGGCGGCGUGGAUUAGGCAUGCAAGUCGUGGGACAGCUGGGGGCAACUCCAGUUGACCGGCGUAAGGGUAGUUAUGCAUAGGUAACCAUCCCUCCAGAUGGGGAUAACACCGAGAAAUCGGUGCUAAUACCCAGCGCCGUUGCGAUGGGCAUCUUAUUGCAACGAAAGGUGUGAUUCCGCUGGAGGACGGGCUUAUGUGGUAUUAGCUAGUUGGUAGGGUAAUGGCCUACCAAGGCUACGAUGCCUAGGGGGUGUUAGCGCACGACCCCCACCACUGGGACUGAGACACUGCCCAGACACCUACGGGUGGCAG